GGUUCUAGCGUGACGGCCAUCUUAUGGGCGUUUGCAUGGAUCAUCAGGUCAGGCUCAAGCACGAGUGCAACAUGACCUUUCCAGAACAACAGGUCAUUGCGCUGAUAAGGGGUGCCCGCAGGCGGGGCAUAGCCGACCAUUGCCAGCUGCUGGUCGCUGUCGCCGGGGCAAGGGAUGCCGCAAGCAAGAAACGCCGCCUGAACAAGGCCCGAACAAUCAAUGCCCCAACGGCUGUUGCCCCCCCAAAGAUAGGGCGUGCCCAGAAAUAACCGGGCAAUAUCAGCAGGGUCUGACGCAAGAUCGUCUAUCGGUUUCAGGUGCUGGAUCGGGAUGUAGCCUAUUUGGGUUUCGGCAAAACCGGCCACGUG
RNAcentral lists this ribosomal RNA (368 nucleotides) under Kelleromyxa sp. RNAcentral's name for it is "partial small subunit ribosomal RNA". Lineage: Eukaryota; Evosea; Eumycetozoa; Liceales; Liceaceae. The record is from RNAcentral.